GAUGAACGCUGGCGGCGUGCCUAAUACAUGCAAGUCGAGCGAACAGACGAGGAGCUUGCUCCUCUGACGUUAGCGGCGGACGGGUGAGUAACACGUGGAUAACCUACCUAUAAGACUGGGAUAACUUCGGGAAACCGGAGCUAAUACCGGAUAACAUGUUGAACCGCAUGGUUCAACAGUGAAAGACGGUCUUGCUGUCACUUAUAGAUGGAUCCGCGCCGCAUUAGCUAGUUGGUAAGGUAACGGCUUACCAAGGCAACGAUGCGUAGCCGACCUGGGAGGGUGAUCGGCCACACUGGAACUGAGACACGGUCCAGACUCCUACGGGAGGCAGCAGUAGGGAAUCUUCCGCAAUGGGCGAAAGCCUGACGGAGCAACGCCGCGUGAGUGAUGAAGGUCUUCGGAUCGUAAAACUCUGUUAUUAGGGAAGAACAAAUGUGUAAGUAACUAUGCACGUCUUGACGGUACCUAAUCAGAAAGCCACGGCUAACUACGUG
This 497-nucleotide ribosomal RNA is filed under the name uncultured bacterium. RNAcentral describes it as "partial 16S ribosomal RNA". It matches the Rfam family "Bacterial small subunit ribosomal RNA", at positions 28 to 507 of the family's 1533-position model. The record is from RNAcentral.